UACAAGAAAAUAUGUAGAUACCGACAGUCAAUUUGAGGCACAUGUAAAGGAACCGCCGCCGCUCUUGUCAAUCCCGACGGUUAUUGCGGCGUUCAUUCAACUGCCUUUGCUGUUUGUAACUCUCGGCGGUUUUACUAGGUAUCGCGCGGCGGUUCAUUCAACGAUGUAUAUUGUCGUUUGUUUUUAAGACUCACGCACGCAAUUUAUUUUCACGUUUCCUUCUUUCACUCAGUGAAAAUCAAUUGCUCUUCAAGACUCACACGUUUCCCUCUGUAGCUCCGAUUGCUCUCUCUCAACACAGUCUUUAUUAUGUUGAUCUGGUUCUUGCGAAUGUUAUAUUUGGUUCCUGUACUGCUUGUCGUCAAGUGUCGGCGAAGUUUAGUACAAGAAAUUUGUUAUGAUUUUGGUCAUGAUGUUUGUAGCCAAGGGGCAGUAGGAAGCAAGGGCCAGAGACAUGAUCGUGAGAGAAGAGGAUUGAGAGAAUCUUGAGUUAUUCAUGCAUCUGAUGACAAUGUUGAACUUGUCUUGUCAAUGCAGGUAAAAUCAUUGUUAACUCUGAUAGUAACCCAAUCCUCGUGAAGGAAAAAUAACUCAAGCAUCUUGGUAAUGGAGAUGUCAAUUCUCAUGUUUGUAAAGUGUGUUUGGAAUCUUCAACUGCGGCAAUUCUUCUUCCAUGUCGUCAUUUUUGUUUUUGUAAAUCUUGUUCACUUGCAUGCUCUGAAUGUCCUUAUUGAGUUGUUAUAUCCACAGUCACGGGUGCAAUUCUUUCAUUAGUUUACUUUUAUGCAACCUUUCAAAAGGUAAAUUGAUAACAUAUUCUUUCUUUUCGCUAGAUAACUGUAUAUGUAAGGGGAGACAAAAGGGUGGGAAAAAAGAAUGUAAAAAGGAAAAGGAUGUAAACCACAUUGCAGAAGUAAAUAUGCACAAUGUGUGUUGUUUCCAAUUUAUAUAUUUUUAAAUCAGUAGAUUAAACUAAGAAAAUUGUUAUCGUCUUUUCCAAUUUUUUGCAGUUUGUUCCACAUAGUCAUAUGGGCACUCCAUUCCGUAAACUGCAGGGUGACAACAAAUGUUAUAUUUAAACAUUUUCAUGUAAAGAUUAUCCAGGAAAAUAUCUCAUUUUUUUAUAGGCAGUGGAUAUAGAUACCUGUAUAAUGAGGAUGUUUGUUGGUCUUAUAAAUAUCUUUUAAUUUUGUUUUACAGACAUGGAAGCGGUUAUGUCCCUUGUUGGCUUUGACUUGUACAAUAAAGUGCUUCAUAGUCAUACAAGCCUAAUUUGGAUUUUCCAUUUCACUCAUAGGUCAAAAAGUUCUUUGAAAUGGCCUCCAAAUCGCUUUUAGACAUUUGGUCUUGUGUAAAUGUGUUUAUUAAAAGUAUUUGAAAAAGACAUCAUUUAGGCUUCAAUUGAUGCUCAAUGGUGAAUUUGGCCUCAAAGAUGCUAUCUAAAACCAUAUUUUUAUUGGCAUUUUGGUCGGAGGAAUAGUUUGGAGCUUGGUUCUGGACUUUUAAGUCGACAAAGAACUACACUUUACAAAGAGUGCACUAGACCAAAUGGACUGGAUUGAAAAAAUCACAGUGAUGUUGGUGCUCACAACAAAUUGAAUCAAGUGAUGGGAAAUUGAAGGCACUGAGAUUGAGUUCAUUAAUUAUAACAUAGGUAUCAAUUUUUUGUACUACUUAUUUGGAUUUAUUUUUUUUAGAUUGUUCCCUUGAAGUUUUGUUUGUGUUGAUGGAUUUAUUUGGUCUCGAUUGUUGGUGAACUUUAAGCUUGGUUAUCGGAGGAAAAUGCUUAAUUAAUGAACACAUAUGUUUUGUAGCACUGGAUAGGUGUAACUAAUGCUAUAUAAGGGGUUAGCUUAUGCUAUAUCUUUUAUUCGUGUCUUGGUUCUAUUUUAAGUUGUUUCUAUUGAUUAUUAAAUAACAAUGUGUAUCAAAUGAGGCAUAUGGACUUGAAUUAGUUUGCAUAAUUUAAAGAGGCUAGUGUGUUAAAUUCUCUGCACAACUUAUGUCAUUUUGUGAACGAUUGACUUAUUCUGUUUGACACUUCCAAAGCACCUUACUUAAGUUGCACGGGUUGAAGGGUGAGAGGCUUGGAGUUCACCAAUCUAAUGUAGAACGUAUUCUCUGUGACAUGGUUCAGGUAAAGGCACAUGGUGCUAAUGUAGUGGAAGUUGCCUAUCCUUAUUGUUUAUCAUGGUGAGGUUUAAAAAGUUGUAAUUAAUUUCUGAACGUUAUGAUUAUAGUCAAGUUUCUAUGAUUUUUCUUCAUGGUUGUUUCUAUUUUAUUUAAUUGAAGGCCAAAUUGUGAAGGUGGUUUAUAUGACGAUGAUGUGCACGUACACGCGGUUACAAGCAUUAAAGCUUGCUUUGGAAUUGGGGGCUGUUUUUUUUAUGGAAUUGGAUCUCAAGGUAUACCAACAGUAAUUCAAGUGUGAAAUUAGAUGAUCUAUAUAGUUGAUUUUUGUUGUCUAAGAGCUUAUAAGCAUCUUGUUUGUUUUGCUACACUUUUUAAUGUAAUAGUUUUAUGUUUAGUGUGUUAACUCAAAGCAAUUUUGAUGUAAACUUGUAUCAUUUUCUACAUGAAUUGUGAGAAUCAAUUACUUGAUAUGUUCAGUAAAAUAAUGUGUCUGCGA
Molecule: long non-coding RNA, 2629 nt
Organism: Trifolium pratense (red clover)
Lineage: Eukaryota; Viridiplantae; Streptophyta; Magnoliopsida; Fabales; Fabaceae
Exons: 8
Source: RefSeq, a predicted model, not a curated record